CCUAGUUGAUCCUGACCGUAGCAUAUGCUUGUCUCAAAGAUUAAGCCAUCCGUGUCUAAGUAUGCACAGCUGGUACAGUGACACUGCAAAUGGCUCCUUAAAUCAGUUAUGGUUCCAUUGGUCGCUCGCUCCUCUCCUACUUGGAUAUCUGUGGUAAUUCUAGAGCUAAUACAUGCCCAGGGGCGCUGACCCCCCUCGCGGGGGCGGGGGAAGGGGAAAUGUGUGCCUUUUUCAGAUUAAAACCAACCUGGUCAGCCUCCCUUGGCCCUCCCUGGCUGGGAGGCAGGCGCCAGUGGCUUUGGUGACUCUAGAUAACCUCGGGGGAUUGCACACCCCCCAGGUGGCAAUGACCCAUUCGGUCCUCUGCCCUAUCAACUUCUGAUGGUAGUCGCCUGCCUACCACGGUGACCACAGGUGAUGGAGAAUCAGGGUUCGAUUCUGGAGAGGGAGCCUGAGAAAACAGCUACCACUUCCAAGGAGGGCAGCAGGCAGGCAAAUUACCCACUCCCGACCCUGGAGGUAGUGACAAAAAAUAACGAUACAGGACUCUUUCAAGGCCCUGUCAUUGGAAUGAGUCCACUUUAUUUCCUUGAACAGGGAUCCAUUGGAGGGCAAGCCUGGUGCCAGCAGCCGCAGUAAUUCCAGCUCCAAAUGGUAUAUUAAAGUUGCUGCAGUUACAAAGCUCAUAGUUAGGGACGCCUGGGUGGCUCAAGUGGUUGGGCAUCUACCUUGGCUCAGGGAGUGAUCCCGCAGUCCCGGGAUAGAGUCCCUACAAUGGGCUCCCUGCAGGGAGCUUGCUUCUUCCUCUGCCUAUCUCUCUGCCUCUGUGUGUCUCUCAUGAAUAAAUAAAUAAAAUCUUUAAAAAAAAAAAAGCUCGUAGUUGGAUAUUGGGGGGGCGGUCUGCCUCAAGGCAAGCCACCACCCAUCCCUGCCCCUUGCCUCUUGACGCCCCCUUCAUGCUCUUAGCUGAGUGUUCUGCGGGGCACAAAGCAUUUACUUUGAAAAUUAGAGUGUUCAAAGAAGGCCUGAGCCACCUGGAUACUGCGGCUAGGAAUAACAGAAUAGGACCAUGGUUCUAUUUUGUUGGUUUUCGGAACUGAGGCCAUGAUUAAGAGGGAUGGCUGGAGGCAUUCAUAUUGCACCUCUAGAGGUGAAAUUCUUGGUCUGGCACAAGACGGACCAGAGCAAAAGCAUUUGCCAAGAAUGUUUUCAUUAAUCAAGAUCGAAAGUCGGAGGUUUGAAGACGGAUCAGACACCAUAAAUGAUGCCGACUGGCAACGCAGCAGCAUUAUUCUGAUGACCUGCUGGGCAGCUUCUGGGAAACCAAAGUCUUUGGGGGGGGGGUAUGGUUGCAAAGCUGAAACUUAAAGGUACUGACCGAAGGACACCACGAGGAGUGGAGCCUGCGGCUUAAUUUGACUCAACACAGGAAACCUCACCAGCCAGGACACGGACAUGACUGACACAUUGAUAGCUCUUUCUCAGUUCCGGGGGUGGUGAUGUAUGGCUGUUCUUACUUGGUGGAGCGAUUUGUCUGGUUAAUUCCGAUAAUGAAGGAGACUCUGGUAUGCUAACUAGUUACAUGACCCCAGAGUGCUUGGCGUCCCCCAACUUCUUAGAGGGACAAGUGGCGUUCAGCCACCCGAGAUUGAGCAAUAACAGGUCUGUGAUGCCCUUAGAUUCCUGGGGCUGCACGUGCGCUCCACUGACUGGCUCAGCAUGUGCCUACCCUACACCGGCAGGUGGGGUAACCCAUUGAACCCCCAUUCAUGAUGGGGUUUGGGGAUUGCAAUUAUUUCCCAUAAACGAGGAAUUCCCAGUAAGUGCGGGUCAUAAGCCUGUGUUGAUUAAGUCCCUCCCCUUUGUACACACCAUCUGUCUCUACUACGUUACUACUACUCAUUGGAUAGUUUAGUGAGACCCUCCGAUUGGCCCGAGGGGACGGCCCACAGUCCAGGCGGAGGGCUGAGAAGACGGUGGAACUUGACUAUCUAGAGGAAGUAGAAGUCCUAACAAGGUUUCCAUAGGUGAACCUGUGGAAG
Molecule: ribosomal RNA, 2042 nt
Filed under: Vulpes vulpes (red fox)
Lineage: Eukaryota; Metazoa; Chordata; Mammalia; Carnivora; Canidae
Description: SSU rRNA
Rfam family: Eukaryotic small subunit ribosomal RNA
Source: RNAcentral